CCUACGGGUGGCAGCAGUGAGGAAUAUUGGUCAAUGGACGAGAGUCUGAACCAGCCAAGUAGCGUGAAGGAUGACUGCCCUAUGGGUUGUAAACUUCUUUUAUAUGGGAAUAAAAUGUUCCACGUGUGGGAUUUUGUAUGUACCAUAUGAAUAAGGAUCGGCUAACUCCGUGCCAGCAGCCGCGGUAAUACGGAGGAUCCGAGCGUUAUCCGGGUUUAUUGGGUUUAAAGGGAGCGUAGGUGGAUUGUUAAGUCAGUUGUGAAAGUUUGCGGCUCAACCGUAAAAUUGCAGUUGAAACUGGCAGUCUUGAGUACAGUAGAGGUGGGCGGAAUUCGUGGUGUAGCGGUGAAAGGCUUAGAUAUCACGAAGAACUCCGAUUGCGAAGGCAGCUCACUGGACUGCAACUGACACUGAGGCUCGAAAGUGUGGGUAUCAAACAGGAUUAGAUACCCUAGUAGUC
RNAcentral lists this ribosomal RNA (460 nucleotides) under uncultured bacterium. RNAcentral describes it as "partial 16S ribosomal RNA". It matches the Rfam family "Bacterial small subunit ribosomal RNA", at positions 338 to 795 of the family's 1533-position model. The record is from RNAcentral.